GGCUGGUCUGAAUGUACUGAGUUAUCUCAAUUUAUUUUCACAGUCAAUUACAGAUUGAACUCCUUAUUCUACUCUCUCCCUCCUCACCACUGUACUUGACUAGUCUUAA
Molecule: Y RNA, 109 nt
Filed under: Microcebus murinus (gray mouse lemur)
Lineage: Eukaryota; Metazoa; Chordata; Mammalia; Primates; Cheirogaleidae
Description: Y RNA (ENSMICG00000044659.1)
Rfam family: Y RNA
About the family: Y RNAs are components of the Ro ribonucleoprotein particle (Ro RNP), in association with Ro60 and La proteins. The Y RNAs and Ro60 and La proteins are well conserved, but the function of the Ro RNP is not known.
Source: Rfam by way of RNAcentral